This 77-nucleotide transfer RNA is filed under the name Tepidimonas fonticaldi. Its description in RNAcentral is "tRNA-Arg". It matches the Rfam family "tRNA". From Rfam's summary of the family: Transfer RNA (tRNA) molecules are approximately 80 nucleotides in length. Their secondary structure includes four short double-helical elements and three loops (D, anti-codon, and T loops). The record is from RNAcentral. Lineage: Bacteria; Pseudomonadati; Pseudomonadota; Betaproteobacteria; Burkholderiales.
CCGUCCGUAGCUCAGCCGGAUAGAGCAACGGCCUUCUAAGCCGUGGGUCGGGGGUUCGAGCCCCUCCGGACGGGCCA